Molecule: long non-coding RNA, 1056 nt
Filed under: Numida meleagris (helmeted guineafowl)
Lineage: Eukaryota; Metazoa; Chordata; Aves; Galliformes; Numididae
Description: lncRNA (ENSNMEG00000002938.1)
Source: RNAcentral
UCCUUCUCCUCGCGCAGCAGCUUGUGGAUCUGGUUGGCCUUGAUGCGCUCCGACAUCAGCUUGAAGUUGGCGUCGUCCUUCUCGCGCAGCUGCUGCAGCAGCCGCAGGUUCUGCUCCUGCAUGUCCUCGAAGGCCUGCCCCGUCACGUCCAUCUCCGACAGCAGCGCCUCCUCCUCCUGCCAACGGGGACGGGGCGGGCGUCGGGACAAGGCGGCAAGAUGGCCGCCGGGACAAGAUGGCCGCCGGGGCAAGAUGGCCGCCAUGGCAAGAUGGCUACCAGACAAGAUGGAUGCCAGAACAAGAUGGCUGCCGGGACAAGAUGGCCACCAUGGCAAGAUGGCCAUCAGGACAAGAUGGCUACCGGGACAAGAUGGCCACCAUGGCAAGAUGGCCACCAGACAAGAUGGCUACCGGGACAAGAUAGCUGCCAGAACAAGAUGGCUGCUGGGACAAGAUGGCUGCCAGGACAAGAUGGCCGCCAGACAAGAUGGCUGCCGAGACAAGAUGACCACCAGGACAAGAUGGCUGCCAGAACAAGAUGGCUGCCAGGACAAGAUGGCCGCUGGGACAAGAUGGCCACCGGAAAAAAAAAAGAUGGCUGCCAGGACAAGAUGGCUACCAGGACAAGAUGGCCGCCAGGACAAGAUGGCCGCCAUGGCAAGAUGGCCUCCAGACAAGAUGGCUACCGGGACAAGAUGGCUGCCGGGACAAGAUGGCCACCAUGGCAAGAUGGCCAUUAGGACAAGAUGGUUACCGGGACAAAAUGGCUGCCGGGACAAGAUGGCCACCAGGAGAAGAUGUCUGCCAGAACAAGAUGGCUGCUGGGACAAGACGGCUGCCAGAACAAGAUGGCUGCCAGGACAAGAUGGCUGCCAGGGCAAGAUGGCCGCUGGGACAAGAUGGCCACCGGGAAAAGAUGGCUGCCAGGACAAGAUGGCUGCCAGGACAAGAUGACCACCAGGACAAGAUGGCUGCCAGAACAAGAUGGCUGCCAGGACAAGAUGGCCGCUGGGACAAGAUGUCCACCGGAAAAAAAAAGAUGGCUGCCAGGACAAG